RNAcentral lists this ribosomal RNA (278 nucleotides) under uncultured bacterium. RNAcentral describes it as "partial 16S ribosomal RNA". The record is from RNAcentral.
CUGCUGCCUUCCGUAGGAGUCUGGUCCGUGUCUCAGUACCAGUGUGGGGGACCUUCCUCUCAGAACCCCUACGCAUCGUCGCCACGGUGGGCCGUUACCCCGCCGUCAAGCUAAUGCGCCGCAUGCCCAGCCGCCACCGGAUUCCUCCUUUCGCCCGGACCGGAUGCCCGGUCCGGGCGGCAUGGGGUAUUAGGCCGGGUUUCCCCGGGUUAUCCCCCUGUGGCGGGCAGGUUCCAUACGUGUUACUCACCCGUGCGCCGGUCGCCGGCAGGUGCAGG